UUUUAUGAGAGUUUGAUCCUGGCUCAGGACGAACGCUGGCGGCGUGCCUAAUACAUGCAAGUCGUACGCUUCUUUUUCCACCGGAGCUUGCUCCACCCGAAAAAGAAGAGUGGCGAACGGGUGAGUAACACGUGGGUAACCUGCCCAUCAGAAGGGGAUAACACUUGGAAACAGGUGCUAAUACCGUAUAACAAUCGAAAUCGCAUGAUUUUGAUUUGAAAGACGCUUUCGGGUGUCGCUGAUGGAUGGACCCGCGGUGCAUUAGCUAGUUGGUGAGGUAACGGCUCACCAAGGCCACGAUGCAUAGCCGACCUGAGAGGGUGAUCGGCCACAUUGGGACUGAGACACGG
RNAcentral lists this ribosomal RNA (350 nucleotides) under Enterococcus faecium. Its description in RNAcentral is "bacterial SSU rRNA". It matches the Rfam family "Bacterial small subunit ribosomal RNA", at positions 1 to 329 of the family's 1533-position model. The record is from RNAcentral. Lineage: Bacteria; Bacillati; Bacillota; Bacilli; Lactobacillales; Enterococcaceae.